Molecule: ribosomal RNA, 89 nt
Filed under: Caerostris extrusa
Lineage: Eukaryota; Metazoa; Arthropoda; Arachnida; Araneae; Araneidae
Source: RNAcentral
AUAUCGGUUCUCGUUAGAUCACCAAAGUCAAGUAUCAUUGGGCGCGGUCAGUACUUGGGUGGGUGACCACCUGGGAACACCGCGAGCCG